Molecule: non-coding RNA, 71 nt
Filed under: Heterosigma akashiwo
Lineage: Eukaryota; Raphidophyceae; Chattonellales; Chattonellaceae
Source: RNAcentral
CCGCCCACGGCGUGGUGGUGGGCGAGGGCCUGGCCAGCCUGCUGAACGGCGCCGUGCUCCCCGCGGCGGCG